Molecule: long non-coding RNA, 261 nt
Filed under: Carica papaya (papaya)
Lineage: Eukaryota; Viridiplantae; Streptophyta; Magnoliopsida; Brassicales; Caricaceae
Description: long non-coding RNA (CPAP_LNC003015)
Source: RNAcentral
GGGUUUUUGGUUAAACGUGAUAUGAGCAGGGCAUUCGAGCAAAUAGGAAAACUCAAGUUUUAUCUUAUGUUGGUUUUUCUCCUAAAGUAGUAUAACUUCUCUCUUAAUGUUAUACUACUUUCACCUAUCAACUCAUUAUUAAUGGUAAUCUUAUUCGUGGGGAUCCCCUCAAAUAAGUCUUAGAUAAGAAGAUUUCCUCUCCCCCUACUUAUUCAAACUCUAGACUGAUUUCUUCUCCCACCUAUUAUUCCAAGCAAAAAC